RNAcentral lists this transfer RNA (72 nucleotides) under Camelus bactrianus (Bactrian camel). It matches the Rfam family "tRNA". Rfam says of the family: Transfer RNA (tRNA) molecules are approximately 80 nucleotides in length. Their secondary structure includes four short double-helical elements and three loops (D, anti-codon, and T loops). Further hydrogen bonds mediate the characteristic L-shaped molecular structure. tRNAs have two regions of fundamental functional importance: the anti-codon, which is responsible for specific mRNA codon recognition, and the 3' end, to which the tRNAs corresponding amino acid is attached (by aminoacyl-tRNA synthetases). tRNAs cope with the degeneracy of the genetic code in two manners: having more than one tRNA (with a specific anti-codon) for a particular amino acid; and 'wobble' base-pairing, i.e. permitting non-standard base-pairing at the 3rd anti-codon position. Lineage: Eukaryota; Metazoa; Chordata; Mammalia; Artiodactyla; Camelidae. The record is from Rfam by way of RNAcentral. RNAcentral also lists the same sequence under 3 other names.
AAGGGUAUACCUCAGUGGUAGAGUGCAUGUCUAGCAUGUAUGAGGUCCUGGGUUCAAUUCCCAGUACCUCCA